UGGGGAAUAUUGCACAAUGGGCGCAAGCCUGAUGCAGCCAUGCCGCGUGUAUGACGAAGGCCUUCGGGUUGUAAAGUACUUUCAGCGAGGAGGAAGGCGCUGUGGUUAAUAACCGCAACGAUUGACGUUACUCGCAGAAGAAGCACCGGCUAACUCCGUGCCAGCAGCCGCGGUAAUACGGAGGGUGCAAGCGUUAAUCGGAAUUACUGGGCGUAAAGCGCACGCAGGCGGUCUGUCAAGUCGGAUGUGAAAUCCCCGGGCUCAACCUGGGAACUGCAUCCGAAACUGGCAGGCUAGAGUCUUGUAGAGGGGGGUAGAAUUCCAGGUGUAGCGGUGAAAUGCGUAGAGAUCUGGAGGAAUACCGGUGGCGAAGGCGGCCCCCUGGACAAAGACUGACGCGCAGGUGCGAAAGCGUGGGGAGCAAACA
This 427-nucleotide ribosomal RNA is filed under the name uncultured bacterium. Its description in RNAcentral is "partial 16S ribosomal RNA". It matches the Rfam family "Bacterial small subunit ribosomal RNA", at positions 355 to 774 of the family's 1533-position model. The record is from RNAcentral.